Molecule: ribosomal RNA, 200 nt
Filed under: uncultured bacterium
Lineage: Bacteria
Description: partial 16S ribosomal RNA
Rfam family: Bacterial small subunit ribosomal RNA
Source: RNAcentral
GAUGAACGCUAGCGGCAGGCCUAAUACAUGCAAGUCGAACGGGAUUGAGAAGCUUGCUUUUCAUGAGAGUGGCGCACGGGUGCGUAACACGUAUGUAACCUACCUUAAUCGUGGGGGGAUAGCCUCUACGAAAGAGAGAUUAACACCGCACAACAUUAGUCGGAUAGCUAUUUUCUGAAUAAUACAAAUUAUUUAAUAGG